This 494-nucleotide ribosomal RNA is filed under the name uncultured soil bacterium. RNAcentral describes it as "bacterial SSU rRNA". It matches the Rfam family "Bacterial small subunit ribosomal RNA", at positions 26 to 505 of the family's 1533-position model. The record is from RNAcentral.
AGAUUGAACGCUGGCGGCAGGCCUAACACAUGCAAGUCGAGCGGAUGAAGAGAGCUUGCUCUCUGAUUCAGCGGCGGACGGGUGAGUAAUGCCUAGGAAUCUGCCUGGUAGUGGGGGACAACGUUUCGAAAGGAACGCUAAUACCGCAUACGUCCUACGGGAGAAAGCAGGGGACCUUCGGGCCUUGCGCUAUCAGAUGAGCCUAGGUCGGAUUAGCUAGUUGUGAGGUAAUGGCUCACCAAGGCGACGAUCCGUAACUGGUCUGAGAGGAUGAUCAGUCACACUGGAACUGAGACACGGUCCAGACUCCUACGGGAGCAGCAGUGGGGAAUAGUUGGACAAUGGGACGAAAGCCUGGUCCAGCCAUGCCGCGUGUGUGAAGAAGGUCUUCGGAUUGUAAAGCUAACGUUUAAGUUGGGAAGGAAGGGACUAAGUUAACCGUAAUUACGUUAGUUAGUUUGUACGUUACGACAGAAUAGACACGUCUACGUUCG